This 362-nucleotide unclassified non-coding RNA is filed under the name Hevea brasiliensis (rubber tree). The record is from RNAcentral. Lineage: Eukaryota; Viridiplantae; Streptophyta; Magnoliopsida; Malpighiales; Euphorbiaceae.
AAUUGACACUUCUGAGAUUGAAGCUGUUGACAUACAUGAUGGAUCAUCGCGUGUGUUGAAUGGAGACUAUGCUUUAUCUUUGAUGCGUGCGUUCAAUCAAAAGCUUCGAGUUGUAAGGAUUCAUUAUAUGGAAAGGACUUCUUAAGGGAGCUGUCACAAGGAGGGUUGACAUGCCAAGUUUUAAACUUGAGGUCUUCACGUUUCCGGAAGCUCAACAUGGCGGGGGGAUUCAUGCGGAUACACCACCCCCACCCUCAAUCUUGAUUUCAACACUUCACUUACUAGCUUCCGUGAGGAUUGUUUUACUUGCAUGCCCAAUCUAAAUUACCUCUCAAUGUGUGCAACAAGAGUUGCAAAUCUUU